AAAACCUUACCCACCUUUGACAUGGCAGGAAUCCUUUAGAGAUAGAGGAGUGCUCGAAAGAGAACCUGCACACAGGUGCUGCAUGGCUGUCGUCAGCUCGUGUCGUGAGAUGUUGGGUUAAGUCCCGCAACGAGCGCAACCCUUGCCAUUAGUUGCUACGAAAGGGCACUCUAAUGGGACUGCCGGUGACAAACCGGAGGAAGGUGGGGAUGACGUCAAGUCCUCAUGGCCCUUAUAGGUGGGGCUACACACGUCAUACAAUGGCUGGUACAAAGGGUUGCCAACCCGCGAGGGGGAGCUAAUCCCAUAAAGCCAGUCGUAGUCCGGAUCGCAGUCUGCAACUCGACUGCGUGAAGUCGGAAUCGCUAGUAAUCGUGGAUCAGCAUGUCACGGUGAAUACGUUCCCGGGUCUUGUACACACCGCCCGUCACACCAUGGGAGCGGGUCUCGCCAGAAGUAGGUAGCCUAACCGCAAGGAGG
This 480-nucleotide ribosomal RNA is filed under the name Comamonas kerstersii. RNAcentral's name for it is "bacterial SSU rRNA". It matches the Rfam family "Bacterial small subunit ribosomal RNA", at positions 965 to 1449 of the family's 1533-position model. The record is from RNAcentral. Lineage: Bacteria; Pseudomonadati; Pseudomonadota; Betaproteobacteria; Burkholderiales; Comamonadaceae.